Molecule: long non-coding RNA, 484 nt
Organism: Oryzias melastigma (Indian medaka)
Lineage: Eukaryota; Metazoa; Chordata; Actinopteri; Beloniformes; Adrianichthyidae
Exons: 3
Source: RefSeq, a predicted model, not a curated record
GAGUUUGAUCCAAUCCAAACUGCAGAGACGUUCCCCCUCAGCGGCUGUAACGGCUGCGGGUGGAAGAUCCCUUCAAGAUAUACUCCAUAUUUUUUUUGUUUGGAGUUGGGUUACCAUAGUAACAGCCCUCAAACAGGAAGCAGCUCCACUGUGUGGCGUAAAACUGAAGCAAAAAAAGACUUUAUUGGUUUAUAUAGUUGGAGAAUCCAGAAACAGCUGGAGAACGCAUGGAGAGGAGGACAGAGUCGCUGAUGUCAUCUUUAAGCAGAGAAUCAGCUGCCAAAAUAGUCAGCCGCACCACCUUUGACUUGACUGCUACACAGGUUAUAGACUGUCCUGACUGUUUCUUAUGGCCCUGGGCUCUCACAGAGCUGAGCUGACGUUUCCCUGACCAGAAGCAGAAACAGCAGCAGCAGCUCUGGAAAAUCUCUUCAAAGCCACUUAUUUGCCAGACUUCUGAUAAUAAAAAAAGCCAGAAAAAGUU